GGCAAACUUGGCAUGUGAUACCUUUUCGGAAAGCCCAAAGACAGCCCUCCGACGAAAGAACCAGGACAAUGGAACUUUUCCAUUGACUUUUUGUCGACCCCACAUUUUGACCUUUAAGUACUUUUUCGGGCAUUUUCGUGAUUUGGGCUAUAUUACGGACCCAAAAUUACUUGUUCAAGCAUUGUUUUCGAAUUUUUUCAUGCAUCAAAGCUCGUUAAGACUAGAUGGGGUAUCCCUACAUAGCGGGUGGGACCCACGGCGAAUGGUUCAUCAAGUCUUCAAAAAAGAAUAUAUACGAUUGCAUUGCAUAUACUAACGGAUGCGAUCAUACCAGCACUAAUGCACCGGAUCCCAUCAGAACUCCGCAGUUAAGCGUGCUUGGGCGAGAGUAGUACUAGGAUGGGUGACCUCCCGGGAAGUCCUCGUGUUGCAUCCCUCUUUUUUUUUUUUUUUUUUUGGUUAAAACUUUAUGACUCCAUAACUUCUACACAG
This 492-nucleotide ribosomal RNA is filed under the name Arabidopsis thaliana (thale cress). The record is from RNAcentral. Lineage: Eukaryota; Viridiplantae; Streptophyta; Magnoliopsida; Brassicales; Brassicaceae.